UCACAGGAAUCUCAUACUUGUUGGAAAAAUCCUCAAUAGGGCCACUAGAGCAGUUCACUGAACAACAACAAAAAAGCAUAAUUAAUCCUCUGACAGCUGAGCAGCUGAGACCAGACAAGCAAAGCUGAAUUUCAAAUGACAAUGUGUUAAGUAAUUAAAGGAGAAUGUCCCAGAAGACAGGAGUGAUGCGUUUUACGUUUUGGAAUCCAGAAAAUUACC
This 219-nucleotide long non-coding RNA is filed under the name Homo sapiens (human). RNAcentral's name for it is "HSALNT0301772". The record is from RNAcentral. Lineage: Eukaryota; Metazoa; Chordata; Mammalia; Primates; Hominidae.